RNAcentral lists this ribosomal RNA (253 nucleotides) under uncultured bacterium. RNAcentral's name for it is "partial 16S ribosomal RNA". It matches the Rfam family "Bacterial small subunit ribosomal RNA", at positions 524 to 776 of the family's 1533-position model. The record is from RNAcentral.
UACGUAGGGAGCAAGCGUUGUCCGGAAUCAUUGGGCGUAAAGCGCGCGUAGGCGGCCCUGUAAGUCCGUUGUGAAAGUCAAAGGCUCAACCUUUGAAAGCCGAUGGAUACUGCAGGGCUAGAGUCCGGAAGAGGCGAGUGGAAUUCCUGGUGUGGCGGUGGAAUGCGCAGAUAUCAGGAGGAACACCAAUAGCGAAGGCAGCUCGCUGGGACGGUACUGACGCUAAGGCGCGAAAGCGUGGGGAGCGAACAGG